Molecule: long non-coding RNA, 518 nt
Organism: Acanthochromis polyacanthus (spiny chromis)
Lineage: Eukaryota; Metazoa; Chordata; Actinopteri; Pomacentridae
Exons: 3
Source: RefSeq, a predicted model, not a curated record
CAGACAUUGUGAGUCCACUCUUAUAUAAAGGAGGUUUUCUCCUCAGUCUGCACCAGUCUCGUCUGAACACGGACCUGAUUUGUCUUCACCUGGUGAACUCUGAGCUCCUGCUGCGAUGGAUGCUGUGAUCAAACAAAUCUUCGACAAGUACGCUUGUGGCAACGACACCAUAAGCAAAGCAGAAUUCUCGAAAAUGAUAGACGAUAUGGUUCCUGACGCUGGGAUGAGAGCGCAAAUCGAGGACAGCGAGUGUUUCAAGGCGAUCGAUACGAGUGGAGACGGAGGGAUCAGCUUUGGGGAGUUUAAAGAGUUUUACUUGUUCAUGAUGAAAGUCCAACAGAUGAUGCAGUAGAACUCCUAUUCCUUUUAAGACUUAAAACAGAAGAGCGAGUGCAGAAGCUCUGAAAAACACUAAAUAUCCAACUGGCAAAUGUGACACUAACAACGAUGUACACUGAGUUUGUCAAGUGUUUUCUGUUUCAUCCUGGAAGAGAAUAAAUGCACGCUGCUACAUCCUG